Molecule: unclassified non-coding RNA, 400 nt
Filed under: soil metagenome
Description: partial contains 5.8S ribosomal RNA, internal transcribed spacer 2, and large subunit ribosomal RNA
Rfam family: 5.8S ribosomal RNA (bases 1-120)
Source: RNAcentral
GAUGAAGAACGCAGCGAAAUGUGAUACUUGGUGUGAAUUGCAGAAUCCCGUGAACCAUCGAGUCUUUGAACGCAAGUUGCGCCCGAAGCCUCGGCUAAGGGCACGUCUGCCUGGGCGUCACGCAUCGCGUCUCCCCCAAACCGCCAAGGCGGAGGGGAAGGAAGAUGGCUUCCCGUGCCUCACCCGGGCGCGGUUGGCCUAAAUUUGGAGCCCGCGGCACUUAGCUCUCGCGGCGAUAGGUGGUGAACAAGGCCUUGGCCGUGCAAACAACCCGCUGCGAAGCUCUAUGUCACGUGCGCUCGUCGGACCCUUUGAAGUUGCCUUUGGUGACUUAAAACCUUUGCGACCCCAGGUCAGGCGGGGCUACCCGCUGAAUUUAAGCAUAUCAAUAAGCGGAGGA